Molecule: ribosomal RNA, 502 nt
Filed under: uncultured bacterium
Lineage: Bacteria
Description: bacterial SSU rRNA
Rfam family: Bacterial small subunit ribosomal RNA
Source: RNAcentral
AAUCAACGCUGGCGGCGUGCCUAACACAUGCAAGUCGAACGAGAAGGUGACUUCGGUCACUGGAUAGUGGCGUCCGGGUGAGUAACACGUAGGUAAUCUACCUUCGGGUGGGGAAUAACGUCUCGAAAGAGACGCUAAUACCGCAUAAUGCAGCGGCACCUAAUGGUGAUUAGUUGUUAAAGCGGGGGAGUCUUCGGACCUCGCGCCUGAAGAGGAGCCUGCGGCAGAUUAGCUAGUUGGUGAGGUAAUGGCUCACCAAGGCUUCGAUCUGUAGCUGGUCUGAGAGGACGGCCAGCCACACUGGCACUGACACACGGGCCAGACUCCUACGGGAGGCAGCAGUGGGGAAUUUUGGGCAAUGGGCGAAAGCCUGACCCAGCAACCGCCGCGUGAAGGGAGGAAAUCCUUCGGGAUGUAAACUUCAUAAGUAAGGGAAGAAAGCUGCGGAUCGAAUAAGUCCGCAGUCCGACGGUACCUUACGUAAGCCACGGCUAACUACGUG